Dallia pectoralis (Alaska blackfish) is the source of this 70-nucleotide non-coding RNA. The record is from the annotation of a GenBank genome assembly. Lineage: Eukaryota; Metazoa; Chordata; Actinopteri; Esociformes; Umbridae.
CAGUUGGUAGCACAGUGGUAGAGUGCAUUCUUGGUGUAUGACUUCCUGGGUUCAAAUCCCAGCAAAUGAG